Bos taurus (domestic cattle) is the source of this 1544-nucleotide long non-coding RNA. Lineage: Eukaryota; Metazoa; Chordata; Mammalia; Artiodactyla; Bovidae. The record is from Ensembl.
GGAUGGCCUCUUCUCCAGGUCCUGCCUCCAAGGGUAGUCAAAAGAUGGCCCUUGGCAGGGAGGUGUGGCUGGAGCUUGAUGAACAGGCCCUCAAAGAAUGGGAUGGAACCUGGGUAAGAAGAGCUAUGAGGUGGAGCCUGUUCCCUCUGAACCUCAGAUUUCAGUCAGCCAAGUCUAUAUAAAGGUUUAUUUGUCAAAGUAGGAGGACAGGACACGUUUAAGUUUGUUAGCUUGAUUUGUAAGUUUCAAAUUUGUAGCCGUGUGGUAGAAACUGUCUGGGUGCUGCAGACAGUUGCACCAGCCUGCUGUGUGCACAGCUCUUUUCAGGGCUCCAGAAGACACAAGUUCAGUUAAAGCCCACUACCCCUGUCCUUGGGCUCAUUUGGUGAGGCCACUGGGCUAGUGUGUGGAAGAAGGGACAGUGAGAAAAUGAGUGACCCCCCAACAAGGAUGGAUGGUCCUCCUGGCUUCUCAGCACACUGAGGAAGAAACACCACCCCACCUCCAGACUCCUCCCCAGGGCUUUCUUUACAGGUUUGCAAUGAGGAUGGCUUCCUUAGGACCACGACCUACGAAGGUUCACACAGUGGAUUCUUAACCACUGGACCACCAGGGAAGGCCACUUUGUUUUUUAAAAAAUAAGCCUUAGCUGGCUAAGGUAUAGACUAAAGUCUGCUAACGAAGUAACUACCAUCCAAAACCCUCCAACCCCCACACCUUGCUUCCCUCAAGUGCGUGAGAAUUGGCAGUUAGCCCUCCUGCCUGUGGGCUCUCCCCUGCUGCUAAGUUGCUUCAGUCGUGUCCGACUCUGCGCGACCUCAUAGACGGCAGCCCACCAGGCUCCCCUGCCCCUGGGAUUCUCCAGGCAAGAACACUGGAGUGGGUUGCCAUUUCCUUCCCCAAUUCAUGAAAGUGAAAAGUGAAAGUGAAGUCUCUCAGUCAUGUCCCACUCUUCGCGACCCCAUGGACUGCAGCCCACCAGGCUCCUCCGUCAUGGGAUUUUCCAGGCAAGAGUACUGGAGUGGGGUGCCAUUGCCUUCUCCGGGCUCUCCCCUUCCAACUGUGAAAUCUUCCCUUCCUUGGUUCUGCUUACCAGCCCUACCACAGACCUACCUUACUAGAUAAAAGCGCAGGUCGAUAAAUGAAUCAGUGGGGUACCAAGCCCAGGCUUCCAUCAUGGCCCACUGGCAGCCUUUGGCCCAAGGUCUUUAGGCCUCACCUGACCCUUUGGCAUCCUAAAGGGCACAGUCAAGCCCCUGGCUGAGCUGCAGGCCCUCAAGCCCCACCAGCCUCUGUAGGGCUGAUUCAUGUGGCCUGGUCGUGUCUUUGGAUUUGGACUUGGAAAUCUCACAGGUUGGGGUCAAAGCCCACCCUGCAUCCUACCCAGAGCUGCCCAAGAGAAAAAAAAGCUGCAUCCCUGAGAGUGUGUCUGCUGAGCCGCCAUGAGAGAAUGUGGAGGAGCCCCUGGAAAACAAAACUCUGUGACUGGAAUGAGGCAGCAGAGUAGCCACCGCUGCUGUGGGAAUUUUCUCUAAGAUCAGCAU